AACUAGUGGACAAAAUUUGAGUUAAAACCUAAAACGGCAGCGUCAUGCACUGACCCUUUGCUCAGAUCCAAGCAGCCUAACCCAAACACAACUGUUGGCCUGGCUCUCUGAUCAAACUCAGUUCGAUCCUAGGCGAGUUUUGGCAACACAGAAGCAAAAGUGAUGGGUAUGAGUUUGGAAGGACAAAAGGUGAUAAUGGUACCAUACAUGGAAGCGCAUGUCCCAAAGUACCACGUCUGGAUGCAGGACCCUGCUCUCCUUCAAGCCACCGGAUCAGAGCCCCUCUCCCUCCAAGAGGAAUACGAUAUGCAGCUCUCUUGGAACCAAGACCCUCUCAAGAAAACUUUCAUUGUUUUGGAUAAGGAGAUGGUUGAGGGAAAGUUUGUUCAUGGGGGUCCCCAUGUGGAAGCCAUGGUUGGAGAUGUGAAUAUCUACAUGAAUGAUUUGGAUGACCCUCAAUUGGCAGAGAUUGAAAUUAUGAUAGCUGAACCAAAAAGAAUAGCCGCGGUAAGGGCCUUGGGAAAGAAUCUGUCUUCUUGAUGAUGGCUUAUGCUGUUCAGAAUUUUGGAAUCCAUGUCUUCCGUGCUAAAAUUGGAGAAUCAAAUGGGUCAUCUCUUAGCUUGUUUCGGAAAUUGGGCUUUGAGGAGGCUUCUUAUAGUGAAAUCUUCAAGGAGGUAACAUUGGAGUUGGCAGUGACAGAGCAAAAGCGAGAGGAGCUUUCGCUGUUGUUUGGUGAUGUGGUUACACAUACAUAGCCCAGAAGAGGUUGUAUUUUGUCCCCACCACCCCCCCCCCCCCCUAACUUAUUUACAAAAGGAAACACUUCCAUUGGAAUUAUUUGCAAUCAUGCCGAGAAGCUGAAGUUGGUUAGAGUUGGAGGUAAGCUAUAGUUGUAUUUAUCUUAUAAAAACUCCUCUUAGAGUUGAGUACUUCCAAGGAGGCUAGUUGGAGUGUUAGGAGAGUGCUUGAAAGGCCACUAUUUAAGUUUGAUGAAGGAGCUGAUUUGCUAUUUCCUUCAUGCUUUUCCUAGAGGAUCCAAGACAUAUUUUGACAACCAAAAUAUUGGCAGGACGAGUAUCAAUUAGUAAUAGCGAGUUGUAGAAACCAAAAUUGCAGAUGUAAAUGCCAUUUGCUUGAAUUUAAUGGUUACUACUAUGUUUAAAU
Molecule: non-coding RNA, 1164 nt
Organism: Theobroma cacao (cacao)
Lineage: Eukaryota; Viridiplantae; Streptophyta; Magnoliopsida; Malvales; Malvaceae
Source: RefSeq, a predicted model, not a curated record